AUUGAACGCUGGCGGCAGGCCUAACACAUGCAAGUCGAACGGAGCGGCGGACGGGUGAGUAAUGCCUAGGAAUCUGCCUGGUAGUGGGGGAUAACGUCCGGAAACGGGCGCUAAUACCGCAUCCUAUCAGAUGAGACUAGGUCGGAUUAGCUAGUGGGGGGGGUAAAGGCCUACAAAGGCGACGAUCCGGAACUGGUCGGAGAGGAUGAGCAGUCACACUGGAAAUGAGACACGGUCCAGACUCCUACGGGAGGCAGCAGUGGGGAAUAUUGGACAAUGGGCGAAAGUCUGAUCAAGCCAUGCCGCGUGUGUGAAGAAGGUCUUCGGAUUUUAAAGCACUUUAAGUUGGGAGGCGGUACCAACAGAAUAAGCACCGGCUAACUUCGUGCCAGCCGCCGCGGUAAUAC
Molecule: ribosomal RNA, 407 nt
Filed under: uncultured bacterium
Lineage: Bacteria
Description: partial 16S ribosomal RNA
Rfam family: Bacterial small subunit ribosomal RNA
Source: RNAcentral